AUCAAACUCAACAAAGAAAAUGGGUACUUACCUCAUUACUCCCAAAACUGAUAAGCUCUUUGAAGAUGGUGUGAAUGAUCGACUAAGAUGUAGGUUAUCAUCAAUGCAAGGGUGGCGCGCAUCCAUUGAAGAUGCUCAUGCCGCUUAUUCUGAUCUGGAUGCGUACACUUCCUUCUUUGCUGUUUAUGAUGGUCGUGGAGGUAAGAAUUGGGAGGAUAGGUUGUCAUUAUCUUUGUAGGAUUACCAAUUUAGUACCACACGUUGAGCUCAUUAUUUACUUAUUUUUUGAAACUUGUUCCAUUCUUCAACACAACCAUGGAUCUUUAAGUUAAUGAAAUUGCAAAUUCAACACAACCUGGUCAGGCAAUCUUUUGAAUUUCAGGUUUGUUCUUGUGAGAAGGUUACAUUGUCAGAGUGGCCUUUUACUUCUUCAUUUUGAUGAUUUUAUCUAUCAUUUUUGCAGGUUGAUGCCUUUGCUAAGAAGCUUGGCUAUACCUCCUCACUUCAGGCUGCUCUUGUCAAACUACAGGUGCUUCCUCGAAAUCAACUAGAAAAUUACAUAUACGUAUGCUUGCUUUUCCUUUGUUGGAGCAAGGCCAAAUGGAAGAGGCUGAAAAAGCUGCAAGAAAGGCAUUAGAGAUUAACAAGGAUGAUUGCUGGACCCAGCAUAAUGUGAGUUAUAAUAAUUAUUUUUGUUUUCCAUUCAUUCCACCUAAUUAUUCUAAAUCUUUAAAUAAUUAUACUCAAUUUAGUGUUCCACUAUUCUGAAAUUGUUACGUCAAAUGAGAUAAAGGCUAAAGAGGCUUAUCACAUCUUUUCAUAGCACUUGGUACCAAUUUCAGGGCAUGGACCUGAUUAAAAAUACAUGUUUUAGGUCUUGGCUGGUUCUCUAAUAUUACGAUAUUUUGUAGUUCUGCCAUGUUCUUCAGUAUGAAUGCUGUUUUAAAGAAGUUGUGUGGUUUGAAUGGUUGAUACCUCUUUAUUUAUUGCUUAGCUUUGUUUAAUAAGAUUUCUGUUAAUUUAAUUACAUAUGUAGCAUAGCUGUAAAGAGGGAGUCCUCUAUUUUUGGUGAAAAAACUAUUCUUAAUGGUAUGUAUGGGUAUAUAUGCAACCAUUAUAUAUGUGUGCUUUUUGUAUAUUUGCAUAUAUAGCAUUAUGUAAU
This is a long non-coding RNA of Cannabis sativa, 1162 nucleotides long. RefSeq lists it as uncharacterized. Lineage: Eukaryota; Viridiplantae; Streptophyta; Magnoliopsida; Rosales; Cannabaceae. The transcript has 4 exons. The record is from RefSeq and is a predicted model, not a curated record.